This 497-nucleotide ribosomal RNA is filed under the name uncultured bacterium. Its description in RNAcentral is "partial 16S ribosomal RNA". It matches the Rfam family "Bacterial small subunit ribosomal RNA", at positions 28 to 507 of the family's 1533-position model. The record is from RNAcentral.
GAUGAACGCUGGCGGCGUGCCUAAUACAUGCAAGUCGAGCGAAAAGAUAAGGAGCUUGCUCCGUUGACGUUAGCGGAGGACGGGUGAGUAACACGUGGGUAACCUAUCUAUAAGACUGGAAUAACUCCGGGAAACCGGGGCUAAUGCCGGAUAACAUGUUGAACCGCAUGGUUCUACAGUGAAAGGCGGCUGUGCUGUCACUUAUAGAUGGACCCGCGCCGGAUUAGCUGGUUGGUGAGGUAACGGCUCACCAAGGGAACGAUACGUAUCCGACCUGAUUGGGUGAUCGGCCACACUGGAACGUGACCACGGUCCUUGCUCCUGCGGGAGGCAGCAGUAGGGAACCUUCCGCAAUGGUCGAAAGCCUGACGGAGCAACGCCGCGUGAGUUAUGAAGGUCUUCGGAUCGUAAAACUCUGUUAUGAGUUGAGAACAAAUGCGUAAUUAGCUGUGCGCUUCUUGACGGUACCUAAUCAGAAAGCCACGGCUAACUACGUG